UUAAGUACUCUAAUUAUCCUUUUCUGCUAAUAGAAGUGGUUUCUUUUAUUGUUUUAUGCUAUUUCAUCAAACUUACCUUUUCAUUACUUUUGAACAAACUAUAGCACACAGUCUACCAUCUGUUAUGAUAUUUUUCUUAGACACAACCUCCCCCCUCCUUUUUUUUUUUUCCUUUAACAUUUGCUAAUUGCACAUACUUUCUGCUAGGGAUCUUGCAUGAUUUAAUGUAUCUGUUUCAAGUCUAAGAAAAAGGGCUCAGUUUGAUACUCCCUCCCUCCAGUUCUCUCCUCUUUCCUCUCUCUCUUCCUCUUUCUCCUCAUCUCUCUACAUAGUUUAGAAACUAUGAAUCUUUGUGGUUUCUAGAGGGAGAGGCCAUUACAUUUCUCAGCCUUUUGCAGCUUUCAAGGCAGUUCUGUUUGUAAGAGACAUAGGAAGUUGUAACUAACAAACGUACACAAAUGUGUCUGGAUACAAGAUGCAGCCACUGAAAGCAGUUUGCAGUAUAAAUUUAGAGUUAUUCACAGUUUACCUGAAGCUUAUAAAUGACAGCAGAGAAAUGAGAAAUUUGGUCAUUUUUGUUGCUGAUAAUCUAACUGCUACUGAGAACUAAUGCCAGUUUUAUUAUUCUUUAUUGCAUAUUCCAGCAGAUCAUGUUAUGUACUUAGAUGCCAGUGAAAUAUGUGUUAACUCCCAUAUCUGUUUUGCAAAGUAUAAUUUAUCAUCCUCUUUUUACAGAUGGGAAAAUUGAAGCAUGGAGAGCAGAUGACAAAUGAUCCCCUCACUACCAAGAAAAGAACCAACAACAUUUCAAGUCAUGACCGUGUUUCCACCUUGACAUACAUUGAUAGAACGUCUUACCUGAAUCCAAUAAAUGCCCCAAAAAAGCAAGAUGUAAGAAGGGAAUUGUACAGAACUCUGCAGCAGAGAAAAUUCAACACCCUCCAAGAUGUUACAACAAAAUGGGAGUCCCUGACACACUACAUUGCACGGAUGCUUGUCAAAUAUUGCUCAAAUAGAAGACGUGGAAUAUAUCCAGAAAAUAUAUUCUGAAGGACUGGAAAAUUAAAGAAAGCCGUCCUGACAUUAAGUCAAAUAUGUUGUAGAGAGUCAGUGUUAAAUAGUAAAUAUUUGCAUGGAUCAUGUGCCUGAUCAUUUUGUUGCAGUUGCAGACCAGGUGUUGUAUUGCUUUCUGCACUGACAGCAAACACCAGCUAAGUGCUGCUGAGAGCCUUACUCUAAAAUAUUUUACCUUGGGGUUCAUGAAGAAUGGAAAUAUUUCUGCUAUGAUUUGAUUACAAGAAUACCAUAGAACUGAAAGAGGAUAAUACUCAUAUAAGCAUAUAGUGACAUUCAAGACGUUGGAAAGGCAAGUGUCUACUGUAUCAAGGAAGGGGAAG
RNAcentral lists this long non-coding RNA (1397 nucleotides) under Anas platyrhynchos platyrhynchos (common mallard). Its description in RNAcentral is "lncRNA (ENSAPLG00000022212.1)". Lineage: Eukaryota; Metazoa; Chordata; Aves; Anseriformes; Anatidae. The record is from RNAcentral.